GGAGGUGUGGCUCAAGUGGUAGAGUGCAUGCCUAGCAAGCAGAAGGCCCUGAGUUCAAAUCUCAAUAAUUUCC
This 73-nucleotide transfer RNA is filed under the name Dipodomys ordii (Ord's kangaroo rat). It matches the Rfam family "tRNA". From Rfam's summary of the family: Transfer RNA (tRNA) molecules are approximately 80 nucleotides in length. Lineage: Eukaryota; Metazoa; Chordata; Mammalia; Rodentia; Heteromyidae. The record is from Rfam by way of RNAcentral.